ACUCCUACGGGAGGCAGCAGUGGGGAAUAUUGCACAAUGGGCGCAAGCCUGAUGCAGCCAUGCCGCGUGUGUGAAGAAGGCCUUCGGGUUGUAAAGCACUUUCAGUCGUGAGGAAGGUAGUGUAGUUAAUAGCUGCAUUAUUUGUACGUUAGCGACAGAAGAAGCACCGGCUAACUCCGUGCCAGCAGCCGCGGUAAUACGGAGGGUGCGAGCGUUAAUCGGAAUUACUGGGCGUAAAGCGCAUGCAGGUGGUUGUUAAGUCAGAUGUGAAAGCCCGGGGCUCAACCUCGGAAUAGCAUUUGAAACUGGCAGACUAGAGUACUGUAGAGGGGGUAGAAUUUCAGGUGUAGCGGUGAAAUGCGUAGAGAUCUGAAGGAAUACCGGUGGCGAAGGCGGCCCCUGGACAGAUACUGACACUCAGAUGCGAAAGCGUGGGAGCAAACAGGAUUAGAUACCCCUGGUAGACUGUCA
RNAcentral lists this ribosomal RNA (471 nucleotides) under uncultured bacterium. Its description in RNAcentral is "bacterial SSU rRNA". It matches the Rfam family "Bacterial small subunit ribosomal RNA", at positions 335 to 802 of the family's 1533-position model. The record is from RNAcentral.